This 334-nucleotide ribosomal RNA is filed under the name uncultured prokaryote. RNAcentral's name for it is "bacterial SSU rRNA". It matches the Rfam family "Bacterial small subunit ribosomal RNA", at positions 26 to 352 of the family's 1533-position model. The record is from RNAcentral.
AGAUUGAACGCUGGCGGCAUGCCUAACACAUGCAAGUCGAACGAGGUCCAUCCGGUGGCAACACUGGUGAAGACCGAGUGGCGAACGGGUGAGUAGCACGUGAGCAACCUGCCCCGAAGACUGGGAUAACACCGGGAAACCGGUGCUAAUACCAGAUGUCCCCACUGGACCGCAUGGUCCGAUGAGGAAAAGGGUUUCUGCUUCGGGAGGGGCUCGCGGCCUAUCAGCUUGAUGGUGAGGUAACGGCUCACCAUGGCGACGACGGGUAGCUGGUCUGAGAGGACGAUCAGCCACACUGGGACUGAGACACGGCCCAGACCUCUACGGGAGCAGC